AGCGAACGCUGGCGGCAUGCCUAACACAUGCAAGUCGAACGAGACCUUCGGGUCUAGUGGCGCACGGGUGCGUAACGCGUGGGAACCUGCCCUUAGGUUCGGAAUAACUCCCCGAAAGGGGUGCUAAUACCGGAUAAUGUCUUCGGACCAAAGAUUUAUCGCCUUUGGAUGGGCCCGCGUUGGAUUAGCUAGUUGGUAGGGUAAAAGCCUACCAAGGCGACGAUCCAUAGCUGGUCUGAGAGGAUGAUCAGCCACACUGGGACUGAGACACGGCCCAGACUCCUACGGGAGGCAGCAGUGGGGAAUAUUGGACAAUGGGCGAAAGCCUGAUCCAGCAAUGCCGCGUGAGUGAUGAAGGCCUUAGGGUUGUAAAGCUCUUUUACCCGGGAUGAUAAUGACAGUACCGGGAGAAUAAGCUCCGGCUAACUCCGCG
This 433-nucleotide ribosomal RNA is filed under the name uncultured bacterium. RNAcentral describes it as "partial 16S ribosomal RNA". It matches the Rfam family "Bacterial small subunit ribosomal RNA", at positions 29 to 507 of the family's 1533-position model. The record is from RNAcentral.